This 110-nucleotide ribosomal RNA is filed under the name marine eukaryotic metagenome. The record is from RNAcentral.
GAUGACAAUAGCGAGUGUGAACCACCUGAUCCCAUCUCGAACUCAGAAGUGAAAAUGCUUAGCGCCGAUGGUAGUGUGGGGUUUCCCCAUGUGAGAGUAGGUCAUUGUCA